CAUCCCCUGGAAGGUUCGUGAUCAUCGAGUACUUUUUUGAGCCAAUAUAGUCCCAACGGGAGCCGCUUCCAACCGGGCGGUGCGCAGACCCAGUCGCCUGGGGAGCCUGAAGUCCGGACAGUGGCGCCCACCUUGCAAAGCAAGGUUCAAAGAAGCUCAUGACACGGCUUUCCGGGGUUUUA
RNAcentral lists this non-coding RNA (182 nucleotides) under Desulfonatronum sp. SC1. Its description in RNAcentral is "6S / SsrS RNA". It matches the Rfam family "6S / SsrS RNA". From Rfam's summary of the family: E. coli 6S RNA was the first non coding RNA to be sequenced, but its function was unknown until recently. It consists of 184 nucleotides that fold into an extended hairpin structure with a large single-stranded internal bulge. The record is from Rfam by way of RNAcentral. Lineage: Bacteria; Pseudomonadati; Thermodesulfobacteriota; Desulfovibrionia; Desulfovibrionales; Desulfonatronaceae.